RNAcentral lists this ribosomal RNA (253 nucleotides) under uncultured bacterium. RNAcentral describes it as "partial 16S ribosomal RNA". It matches the Rfam family "Bacterial small subunit ribosomal RNA", at positions 524 to 776 of the family's 1533-position model. The record is from RNAcentral.
CACGUAGGGGGCGAGCGUUGUCCGGAAUUACUGGGCGUAAAGGGCUCGUAGGCGGCCAACUAAGUCGGACGUGAAAUCCCUCGGCUUAACCGGGGAACUGCGUCCGAUACUGGAUGGCUUGAGUUCGGGAGAGGGAUGCGGAAUUCCAGGUGUAGCGGUGAAAUGCGUAGAUAUCUGGAGGAACACCGGUGGCGAAGGCGGCAUCCUGGACCGACACUGACGCUGAGGAGCGAAAGCCAGGGGAGCAAACGGG